Molecule: long non-coding RNA, 954 nt
Organism: Eptesicus fuscus (big brown bat)
Lineage: Eukaryota; Metazoa; Chordata; Mammalia; Chiroptera; Vespertilionidae
Exons: 2
Source: RefSeq, a predicted model, not a curated record
UUGCAGGCCAUACUCUGGCUGUGUGACCAGUAGGGUCCCCAGUGACAGGGUCAGCUGAGGCCUUGACUUUGUAGACCCUCAACAGGUGCCCUUUCUGCCCGCCACCCUACAGCACCCAGCACUAAGACCCAGGGUGUUCCAGGAGGGAGGAAGGAAGCCACGAGGAGGGAGGAGGAGCACAGAAGCACUGCAGGGUCCUGCCUACAAGCUCUGCCAGGACCGGCAGUGGGACUGGGUGAGACUCGUCCCUGUGCAGCGUCACUUCUAGUCUCAGAAACGUCCCGGAGAAAGACCAGCUCGUGUACCAAGAAACCAUUUCACCAGCACGACUGCGUCCCCCAGCUGGAGGAUACCACCCUCUCCAAGUGUUCACAUGAGAGAAAAAGAGAUGCUACUGCUUCCGGUGAAAUAUCAAUGGAAAAAUUAUCCUCGGGUGGGGAUAAACAACAACAACAAAAGAAUAGCACCCGCAACCACCUCCCCACCCACCCCGUGUUCUUGGGUGCAGGAAGACCCCAAUGGCUGUCCACAUCCCAGGUCCGGGUCCUGCAUUAGCCCCCACCUCCAACACAGAGCAGAUGUGGAGUGUCUGGUACCUCGGCCACGUAGCUGAUGGCAUCCUUCAAGUUGAGCUCAUGGAAAACAUUAAGAAUUCGAUCUCUUGACUUUUGGGCUGACCUUCUCAUAAGGAUUUUGCUGAGGAAUUUUCUAUCAAAAUUGGACCACCUGGGGGAUGGAACCAGACAGUGUCAGCACCUGGCAGGCUGUGGGUGAGCCCGGGGAGGAUGGGCAGGGCAUUCCCAACCUACAACCCAGACUCACUGAACAUGGUCUCCCAGAGCUGGGUGGGCACAGAAGACCCCUUUCUCUCUCCAGAGAUUUUUUUUUUUUUUUUUUUUUACUAUUUAUAGCAACCACAAAGGCGAAUUUUAAAAUAAAAGCAAUAAACCACAA